AACAGGCUUAUCUCCCCCAAGAGUCCACAUCGACGGGGAGGUUUGGCACCUCGAUGUCGGCUCAUCACAUCCUGGGGCUGUAGUAGGUCCCAAGGGUUGGGCUGUUCGCCCAUUAAAGUGGUACGCGGGCUGGGUUCAGAACGUCGUGGGACAGUUCGGUCCCUAUCCGUCGCAGGCGUAGGAAAUUUGAGAAGACCUGUCCUUAGUACGAGAGGACCGGGAUGGACGUACCUCUGGUGUACCAGUUGUCCUGCC
RNAcentral lists this ribosomal RNA (255 nucleotides) under Clostridioides difficile. RNAcentral's name for it is "partial 23S ribosomal RNA". It matches the Rfam family "Bacterial large subunit ribosomal RNA", at positions 2476 to 2730 of the family's 2925-position model. The record is from RNAcentral. Lineage: Bacteria; Bacillati; Bacillota; Clostridia; Peptostreptococcales; Peptostreptococcaceae.